CGUUGUGCGGAAUUAUUGGGCGUAAAGCGCGCGCAGGCGGUUCCUUAAGUCUGAUGUGAAAGCCCCCGGCUCAACCGGGGAGGGUCAUUGGAAACUGGGGAACUUGAGUGCAGAAGAGAAGAGUGGAAUUCCACGUGUAGCGGUGAAAUGCGUAGAGAUGUGGAGGAACACCAGUGGCGAAGGCGACUCUUUGGUCUGUAACUGACGCUGAGGCGCGAAAGCGUGGGGAGCAAACAGGAUUAGAUACCCUGGUAGUCCACGCCGUAAACNAUGAGUGCUAAGUGUUAGAGGGUUUCCNCCCUUUANUGCUGCAGCAAACGCAUUAAGCACUCCGCCUGGGGAGUACNGCCGCAAGGCUGAAACUCAAAGGAAUUGANGGGGGCCCGCACAANCGCNGGAGCANGUGGUUUNAUUCUAAGCANCGCGAAGAACCUUACCCGGUNUNGANAUCUCCUGACNACCCNCCNAUAUANUGCGUUUNUCUUCUUNNGACAGCAUGACNANUGGUGCNUCUUUGUUUGUCNUUCUCCCUCNUGUUUAUANNUUAUUUGUU
Molecule: ribosomal RNA, 553 nt
Filed under: Bacillus sp. AMS-8a
Lineage: Bacteria; Bacillati; Bacillota; Bacilli; Caryophanales; Bacillaceae
Description: partial 16S ribosomal RNA
Rfam family: Bacterial small subunit ribosomal RNA
Source: RNAcentral